CCUACGGUGGGCAGCAGUGGGGCAUAUUGGGCAAUGGAGGCAACUCUGACCCCGAAACGCCGCGUAAAUGAUGAAGGUCUUCGGAUUGUAAAGUUCUGUGAUGGGGGAUGAACACAAUGACGGUACCCCAAUAGCAAGCCACGGCUAACUACGUGCCAGCAGCCGCGGUAAUACGUAGGUGGCACGCGUGAUCCGGACUGACUGGGCGUAAAGGGUGCGUAGGUGGUUUAGUAAGUUGGCGGUGUAAUUCCGGGGCUCAACCUCGGCGCUACCGCCAAAACUAUUAGACUAGAGGGCAGGAGGGGUAAGGGGAAUGUCUAGUGUAGCGGUGGAAUGCGUAGAUAUUAGGAGGAACAUCAGGGGCGAAGGCGACUUACUGGACUGUAACUGACACUGAGGCACGAAAGCGUGGGGAGCAAACAGGAUUAGAUACCCUUGUAGUC
Molecule: ribosomal RNA, 443 nt
Filed under: uncultured bacterium
Lineage: Bacteria
Description: partial 16S ribosomal RNA
Rfam family: Bacterial small subunit ribosomal RNA
Source: RNAcentral